Molecule: ribosomal RNA, 500 nt
Filed under: uncultured bacterium
Lineage: Bacteria
Description: partial 16S ribosomal RNA
Rfam family: Bacterial small subunit ribosomal RNA
Source: RNAcentral
AUUGAACGCUGGCGGAAUGCUUUACACAUGCAAGUCGAACGAUGAACCUUAGCUUGCUAAGGGGAUUAGCGGCGAACGGGUGAGUAAUGUAUCGGAACGUAUCCAAUAAUGGGGGAUAACUAGUCGAAAGAUUAGCUAAUACCGCAUACGUCCUACGGGAGAAAGCUAGGGACCUUCGGGCCUGGCGUUAAUGGAGCGGCCGAUAUCUGAUUAGCUAGUUGGUGGGGGAAAGGCUCACCAAGGCGACGAUCAGUAGCUGGUCUGAGAGGACGACCAGCCACACUGGAACUGAGACACGGUCCAGACUCCUACGGGAGGCAGCAGUGGGGAAUUUUGGACAAUGGGCGAAAGCCUGAUCCAGCCAUUCCGCGUGAGUGAAGAAGGCCUUCGGGUUGUAAAGCUCUUUCGCAAGGGAAGAAAACUUAAGCUCUAACAUAGCUUGAGGUUGACGGUACCUUGAUAAGAAGCACCGGCUAACUACGUGCCAGCAGCCGCCGUAA